UCCCUUCUAUGCAUAUUCUGAAAUGAGAUAAUACAGCAGCACACAACAUCACUAUACAAUGUUUUAUUUGCAUUAAAUGUUAGUUACUGCAUUUUAAAUGUCUGUACGGUGAUCAGUUCCCUUUAUAAUCCAUCAAAAUCAGUACAGUUGACAAUAUUACUGCAUUCAGGAAAACAUACCAUAUAAAGAAAACAGUUAUGAAAUUGCAAACGUUACAAAAAUAUGACUGUAUACACAAUUUCAGGUAUUGCAUCAGUGCAUAUUUAGCAGCAUAGAUGAUGGCCACAAGGCACAUAGUAAGUGAUAUAGGUGGAAAAACAGUAACUUGAUUAAAAUUACUCAGUCAAAAUGAAAUUUUCAGUGGUUAUGUCCCUUGAGAAAUAACAAUAUAUGCCAUUUUCAUUCAUAUAUGAUUUACUAACUUUUUUAACAGUACAAAAUGUGAAUUGGACCCAUAGUGAACUACAAAAAAAAAAUAAAAAAACAUGUGGAAGCCAAGCAGCUUUCUGCCAGACCAGCUAAUUGAUCUUCUACAGGUUGCAAAGGGAUUAGAACAAGCUGUAUUGUUCAUAGAGCAGAUACAUGGAAUUUCAUAAUAAAAGUAACAAUGCAGCCUUACAACUCAAAACGCUCAGUAGUGAGUAGAAACAUUAAGUGAGCUUGGUUAAACAUUUAUCAAAUGCAUACAUUUGCAGGUAAUAAAAUAUACUGUUAGAUGGUGGUUUUAUACUUAGCAAAUAAAUGUGCAGAUUCAAGAACACAAAGAACAAUAAGUGCUUUCAUUUUUCUUUCUUCAUUCAUGCCAAUAUUCAUAACAAACCCAUUUGAAUCUUCACGGCAUAUUUGAACAGCAGCUCAUAAGCUGAGUUUUCAGUCCUGUUGAGAUCAGUUAUUGGCUGAACUGGUCACAUGACCAUCAUACUCAAACUUCAUGGCACUGGCAGACUUUGUUUCUGGAGUCACUGUUAACAAGAGAGAGCUGAAGGAUGCUGCGUCCCCGACGCGCCACCACGGCCUCCCCUCACUAAAGAGCUCGGGUGGAUGCUGGGAGCCUGGCUUUUUGAUAACAGCGGCAUCUUUGCGCCUUCAAACAUCUGUCCUUUCAUCCGCGAAGGCUUCUCGGGAUGCUCUUCUGAGACUAGAGGUUGUCGGUCUUCCUCUUCUGAGAUGGCAAACACUGGUACAGUGACGUGGUCAUCCGCAAGGCUUGAUAUUUGACCUUUGACCUGCAGCUGGCUGGUAUCUGAGAGCGUGUUUGGGGUCAUAAGUCCAUUGGCUUGUGCUUUGGAGGACUCGAGCAAGCCGAAGCAGGGAGCGUUGAACCGUGAGUGUCUGAGGUUGCUGGUGGAGUUGAGGCGUCGCUGGCGCUGGGUGGGUUGAGUCAGGGGGUAAGAGGCGUUACUCCUGUCGGCAGGACUGUGAAGAGGAGCAUCAGAUAGGACCUUUCCCCUUCCAGAAUCUGUAGGAGUGCUUGGGAGUCCCUGAGCACACAGUCACAGUUAAAAAAACAAACAAACAGGUUUUUCAUUACUAUAUCCAAAAAACAGGAAUAGGAAUCCAAAAACAGGUCUGGUGAGUUUUGAAAUAUUCACACGAUGUUAAUCAUAUACCACAGAAAAACACUGUCCUAUUCUUCAAAGUGAAACUUUCUUUAAUGUGUGAGUUUCAUUAGACUUCCAGUGUAGGUUUAAAGACAGUUGCCUAUAUAUAUAUAUAUAUAUAUAUAUAUAUAUAUAUUAGGGCUGUCAAAUGAUUAAUCACGAUUAAUCACAUCCAAAAUAAAAGUUUUGUUUACAUAAUAUAUGUAUGUGUACA
Molecule: long non-coding RNA, 1815 nt
Organism: Cyprinus carpio carpio
Lineage: Eukaryota; Metazoa; Chordata; Actinopteri; Cypriniformes; Cyprinidae
Source: Ensembl